Molecule: ribosomal RNA, 258 nt
Filed under: uncultured Leptotrichia sp.
Lineage: Bacteria; Fusobacteriati; Fusobacteriota; Fusobacteriia; Fusobacteriales; Leptotrichiaceae
Description: partial 16S ribosomal RNA
Rfam family: Bacterial small subunit ribosomal RNA
Source: RNAcentral
GGCGGACGGGUGAGUAACGCGUAAAGAACUUGCCCUUUAGACUGGGAUAACAGAGGGAAACUUCUGAUAAUACUGGAUAAGUUAGUAUAUCGCAUGAUAUGCAAAUGAAAGCUACGGCACUAAAGGAGAGCUUUGCGUCCUAUUAGCUAGUUGGUAAGGUAAGAGCUUACCAAGGCGAUGAUAGGUAGCCGGCCUGAGAGGGUGGACGGCCACAAGGGGGCUGAGAUACGGCCCUUACUCCUACGGGAGGCAGCAGAC